This 743-nucleotide ribosomal RNA is filed under the name uncultured organism. RNAcentral's name for it is "bacterial SSU rRNA". It matches the Rfam family "Bacterial small subunit ribosomal RNA", at positions 93 to 859 of the family's 1533-position model. The record is from RNAcentral.
CAGCGGCAGACGGGUGAGUAACACGUAGGUGAUCUACCCCAGAGACGGGGAUAACGGGUGGAAACAUCCGCUAAUACCGGAUAGGCUUGUUCGGUCAAAGGGACAAGGAAAGGCUCCGGCGCUCUGGGAGGAGCCUGCGGCCCAUCAGCUAGUUGGCGGGGUAACGGCCCACCAAGGCAAAGACGGGUAGGGGGUGUGAGAGCAUGGCCCCCCACAAUGGGACUGGAACACGGCCCAUACUCCUACGGGAGGCAGCAGCAGGGAAUAUUGCACAAUGGACGGAAGUCUGAUGCAGCGACGCCGCGUGGAUGAAGAAGGCCCUCGGGUUGUAAAAUCCUUUACAGGGGGAAGAGGAAGGACGGUACCCCUGGAACAAGUGUCGGCUAACUACGUGCCAGCAGCCGCGGUAAGACGUAGGACACAAGCGUUAUCCGGAUUUACUGGGCGUAAAGCGUCUGCAGGCGGACAGGUAAGUUGGGCGUGAAAGCUCCGGGCCCAACCCGGAGAGGUCGUUCAAUACUGCGUGUCUAGAGGGUGUCAGAGGGGAGUGGAAUUUCCGGAGUAGCGGUAAAAUGCGCAGAGAUCGGAAAGAACACCAAUGGCGAAGGCAGCUCCCUGGGGCAACCCUGACGCUAAGAGACGAAAGCUAGGGGAGCGAACAGGAUUAGAGACCCUGGUAGUCCUAGCCCUAAACGAUGGAUGCUGGAUGUGGGGCCAUAGCGCUCCGUGUCGAAGCGAACGCG